GCUGGGCAUGGUGGCGCAUGCCUGUAAUCCUAGCUACUUGGGAGGCUGAGGCAGGAGAAUCACUUGAAUCCGGGAGACAGAGGUUGCAGUGAGCAGAGAUUAUGCCACUACACUCUAGCCUGGGUGACAGAGUGAGACUCCGUCUCAA
Molecule: signal recognition particle RNA, 148 nt
Filed under: Gorilla gorilla gorilla (western lowland gorilla)
Lineage: Eukaryota; Metazoa; Chordata; Mammalia; Primates; Hominidae
Description: Metazoan signal recognition particle RNA
Rfam family: Metazoan signal recognition particle RNA
About the family: The signal recognition particle (SRP) is a universally conserved ribonucleoprotein.
Source: Rfam by way of RNAcentral